AUUAGGUCCGAGCAGCUAAGUGCUGUGAAGGCCUAUUGUAAUCAUAGUGCCGAUUAUUAUUCUGAUUCCGCUUCCGUCAAAUGAAUUGGCUUUUGGAGGCUUUUUUUUUUUUUUUUGCACAUUUUUAUUGACAGUUUUUCCAUACAAGUGUACAUACAGACUAUUUUCUUUUUCCAAAUGUUCCAUACAUAUCAUUCAAGAAAAGCUGCACAUACAAUCUGUACCUGCCUUAGACAGUAACUUUGCUAGUCUAGAUAAUAUCCAAUCUAUCAAUUCACUUGUUGAUUAACAAAAGAAAAAGAAAGGAAAGAAAAAAAGUCAACAAAAAGAUCAUCCAAAAUUUUUUUUUCUUUUUCUCUGUUCUUCUCUUCCGAGUCAUCACAAUUUUAACUCUCUUCUCAUCGAAGGCGAACUGUAAGCAAACUAUUUACAGUCUGUAGCUCUAUAAGGGUUCCUGUAACCACACUAUUAAUCAAUAAAGUCUGAUCUCCAUGGUGAAAUAAAUCCCUGCCAAUUUUUCCUAUAAUUCUUAAAUUUUCCAGAAAGUCAGCCUUUCCAUAAUAUAAAUAUUAUAUUGCAUUACGUCAACCCAAUCUUCCCUUUUAGGAGCUUCUGCCUUCAGCCAUUUCCUAGUAAUGGCUUUUUUGCUUGCUACCAACAUAAUCCCAUACAUAUAUCUAUCACCUUGUGAACCUUUCCGACCCUCUUCCCAUGUACAGAACAUGAAAUGUAAGUGGAAUAUUCACCCCCAGUACCUUAUCCAUACCAGUCUUUACGUCCUGCCAAUAGGGUACCAUGAAGGCACAAUUCCACAAUACAUGGAAGUGACCCGCUCUGUCUUUUCCGCACUGCCUCCAGCAUUUUGUAUCUUGGUGUUUUCUUUGUGCUGGCGUACUGAAAUAUCUUACAAUAUUCUUCCAGCCAAACUCUCCACGAAAGGGAACAAGAUGUUUUCCACUGUUGCCCACAUAUCUCCUCCCAGUUCUCCUGCGAAAGCCCACAAUUGGCAUCUUUUUCCCAUCUUACUUUUAUGUAUGUUGUAUUACUUUUCUUCAAAUUUUCCAAUCCUGUAUACAGUUUUGGAAUUAUUUUCUUCCCCAAGUUUGAUUCAUUUGCUGAAAUAAACAUCUUAAUUAUACCAGAUUCAAACUCAUUUAAAUUUAUCCUUCUUAGUAGUUCCUCUGUAUAGUGCCUCAAAUGUAAGUACCUGUAGAGAUCCUUGUUGGUUAAUUCAUAUUUAUUCUUUAUUUCUUCAAAGCUUUGUAUAGUAUUUUUCUUAACCAUCUCCCAGAAUAUCUUUGGACCCUUUUCCCAUUUACUAAAUGUUUUGUCUGUUACAUUAGGUUUAAAAUCUGAGUCAUGCGUUAUCUACCUUAGUAGUCUACUCUGCUCUGUCUACCCAUAUCUUAAAAUAAUUUCAUUCCAUAUGUCAAGAGAUAAUCCUAGCCAUAGAUUCGACUCCUCCCUAAGGUGUUUUCUCAAUUUGUUAUCAUUUAUUAUGGCUUUUAGAGGUAUUGUGGGUGACAUAGCACAUUCUAUAUCUUUCCAUUUUGCAGUGUAUAAUGGAUUGCUUAUGUUCAGUAGAGUACUCAACUGUGCUGCAAAAUAGUAGCUCUUCAGACAGGGUAAGGCUAACCCCCCUUUAUCCUUUGAUACCUGCAAAGUUCUGAAUCUGACCCGUAGUUUUCUUCCUUGCCAAAUGAAUCUCGAUAUGAUUUUA
This is a long non-coding RNA of Poecilia latipinna (sailfin molly), 1720 nucleotides long. RefSeq lists it as uncharacterized. The record is from RefSeq and is a predicted model, not a curated record. NCBI's taxonomy places the organism in Eukaryota, Metazoa, Chordata, Actinopteri, Cyprinodontiformes, Poeciliidae. The transcript is spliced from 2 exons.